UCGCGUCUUCAUGAUGAUACACAAACAUUAAGCAUAGUUCAACUUAGGCCAAUGGCCGCUGAGGAACCAAACAGCAUUGUCUUUCGCUCCUAUCUGACUCGACUCUU
RNAcentral lists this small nucleolar RNA (107 nucleotides) under Pyrenochaeta sp. DS3sAY3a. RNAcentral's name for it is "Small nucleolar RNA snR60/Z15/Z230/Z193/J17". It matches the Rfam family "Small nucleolar RNA snR60/Z15/Z230/Z193/J17". Rfam says of the family: The members of this family belong to the C/D class of snoRNAs which contain the C (UGAUGA) and D (CUGA) box motifs. Most of the members of the box C/D family function in directing site-specific 2'-O-methylation of substrate RNAs. The family includes the yeast snoRNA snR60 (also known as Z15) and the corresponding human guide snoRNA U80 (SNORD80). Lineage: Eukaryota; Fungi; Ascomycota; Dothideomycetes; Pleosporales; Cucurbitariaceae. The record is from Rfam by way of RNAcentral.